GAAAAGCCCCCGGCUUAACCGGGGAGGGUCAUUGGAAACUGGGAAACUUGAGUGCAGAAGAGGAGAGUGGAAUUCCACGUGUAGCGGUGAAAUGCGUAGAGAUGUGGAGGAACACCAGUGGCGAAGGCGACUCUCUGGUCUGUAACUGACGCUGAGGAGCGAAAGCGUGGGGAGCGAACAGGAUUAGAUACCCUGGUAGUCCACGCCGUAAACGAUGAGUGCUAAGUGUUAGGGGGUUUCCGCCCCUUAGUGCUGCAGCUAACGCAUUAAGCACUCCGCCUGGGGAGUACGGUCGCAAGACUGAAACUCAAAGGAAUUGACGGGGGCCCGCACAAGCGGUGGAGCAUGUGGUUUAAUUCGAAGCAACGCGAAGAACCUUACCAGGUCUUGACAUCCUCUGACAACCCUAGAGAUAGGGCUUUCCCUUCGGGGACAGAGUGACAGGUGGUGCAUGGUUGUCGUCAGCUCGUGUCGUGAGAUGUUGGGUUAAGUCCCGCAACGAGCGCAACCCUUGAUCUUAGUUGCCAGCAUUCAGUUGGGCACUCUAAGGUGACUGCCGGUGACAAACCGGAGGAAGGUGGGGAUGACGUCAAAUCAUCAUGCCCCUUAUGACCUGGGCUACACACGUGCUACAAUGGACAGAACAAAGGGCUGCAAGACCGCAAGGUUUAGCCAAUCCCAUAAAUCUGUUCUCAGUUCGGAUCGCAGUCUGCAACUCGACUGCGUGAAGCUGGAAUCGCUAGUAAUCGCGGAUCAGCAUGCCGCGGUGAAUA
This 773-nucleotide ribosomal RNA is filed under the name Bacillus pumilus. RNAcentral's name for it is "bacterial SSU rRNA". It matches the Rfam family "Bacterial small subunit ribosomal RNA", at positions 595 to 1368 of the family's 1533-position model. Lineage: Bacteria; Bacillati; Bacillota; Bacilli; Caryophanales; Bacillaceae. The record is from RNAcentral.